CGAAGAGGCCACACCCGUUCCCAUUCCGAACACGGAAGUUAAGCUCUUCAGCGCCGAUGGUAGUUGGGGCUCACGCCCCUGUGAGAGUAGGAC
Molecule: ribosomal RNA, 93 nt
Filed under: Bacillus sp. FJAT-27916
Lineage: Bacteria; Bacillati; Bacillota; Bacilli; Caryophanales; Bacillaceae
Source: RNAcentral